CAUGCUUAGGAUGUUGACAUAAUGGCUUUAAACGACCCGUCUUGUAACACGGACCAAGGAGUCUAACAUAUGUGCGAGUACAAGGGUGUGCAAACCCGUGUGCGCAAUGAAAGUGAGCCAGGGUGGGAGGGCGCGAGCCUGCACCAUCCGCCGACCAUGACCCUCUGGGGGACAGGUUUGAGUGGGAGCGUAUAUGUUGGGACCCGAAAGAUGGUGAACUAUGCUUGAGUAGGGCGAAGCCAGGGGAAACUCUGGUGGAGGCUCGUAGCGAUUCUGACGUGCAAAUCGAUCGUCGAACUUGGGUAUAGGGGCGAAAGACUAAUCGAACCGUCUAGUAGCUGGUUCCCUCCGAAGUUUCCCUCAGGA
RNAcentral lists this ribosomal RNA (366 nucleotides) under Goniomonas pacifica. RNAcentral's name for it is "partial Eukaryotic large subunit ribosomal RNA". It matches the Rfam family "Eukaryotic large subunit ribosomal RNA", at positions 613 to 978 of the family's 3401-position model. Lineage: Eukaryota; Cryptophyceae; Goniomonadida; Goniomonadaceae. The record is from RNAcentral.